Molecule: long non-coding RNA, 701 nt
Organism: Oncorhynchus tshawytscha (Chinook salmon)
Lineage: Eukaryota; Metazoa; Chordata; Actinopteri; Salmoniformes; Salmonidae
Source: Ensembl
GGAAGAGGUUAAUAAAAUGGAAUGAGGAUUGACUUUUGAUGUGUGCUUGUUUUUUCAGAAUGCACUAGAAUGACUGAAAUGACUGAAUCAGCGUGGAAGUAAAACUGUAGUUUCCCGAGACAUCCCAGGAACUGUUUUUCAAACUGAAACCACACCUUUGGUAAUCAUCCAUUUAAGGCCAGGUGUGUCUGGCUCAUACUUUUAAUCAGUUUGUUGUGAGGCAAGUCAAGUUGAUCUAUUGUUCUGGUGGACCAAUUGGGUUGUUUGAUGAAACAAAGCUUCAGAUGUCAUUGAUCAUGUGCUUCUGAUAGUGAUACAGGCAUCGGCACACUGCUUUGAGUUUAGGUAUGGCAGCUUCACAAUUUGAAAAUGGACCACAUGUGGCAGCGGGGCACAUUGGGCCACACCAGCCAGUUCCUCAGCCCAACCCUGGCACAUGGCACCCAGUGCAUGGACCCGAAGGAUCAGGGCCCCAUCUAACCGAUCAUCAGCCCCAUCCUCAUGUGCACCAGUCUCGACCCUACUUCUAUGUGCAGCCCCCUCCUCCUCUCCCCCUCUACCACUACCAGUGGCCCAUGCCCUACAACCCCUGCUCUGGAAUUCCAGGAAUGGCUAAGUUUAAAUAUGUUUUUCUUACCCAGUAGUAUAAAUGCUGUAUUAUGUCCAGUCUGGAGGUAUAAAGUAAUAUUCAUGAUCAGUAA